Molecule: ribosomal RNA, 549 nt
Filed under: Dacrymyces capitatus
Lineage: Eukaryota; Fungi; Basidiomycota; Dacrymycetes; Dacrymycetales; Dacrymycetaceae
Description: eukaryotic LSU rRNA
Rfam family: Eukaryotic large subunit ribosomal RNA
Source: RNAcentral
GAUUCCCUAGUACUGCGAGUGAAGCGGGAAAAGCUCAAAUUUAAAAUCCUUCGGGAAUUGUAAUCUAGAGAAGUGUUUUCGGUCGUUGCCUCGGACAAGUCCCUUGGAACAGGGCGUCAUAGAGGGUGAGAAUCCCGUCCUUGCCGAGCUACCAACGUCUAUGUGAUGCACUCUCGAAGAGUCGAGUUGUUUGGGAAUGCAGCUCAAAAUGGGUGGUAAACUCCAUCUAAAGCUAAAUAUUGGCGAGAGACCGAUAGCGAACAAGUACCGUGAGGGAAAGAUGAAAAGCACUUUGGACAGAGAGUUAAACAGUACGUGAAAUUGUUGAAAGGGAAGCGCUUGAAGUCAGUCGCGUUGCAAGGACUCAGCCGCAAGGUGCAUUUCUUUGCAACGGGUCAACAUCAGUUUUGGGCGUGGGAAAAGGGCUUGAGGAAUGUGGCAGCCUCGGCUGUGUUAUAGCCUCUUGUCGUACACCAUGCUUGGGACUGAGGACCGCUAACAGGAUGUUGACGUAAUGGCUUUAAGCGACCCGUCUUGAAACACGGACCA